GUUAUCAAGAAAGACCACCACAUCAUAUGGGUCCCAAGGUGAUGAGUUAUCAAGAAAGGCCACCACAUCAUAUGGGUCCCAAGGUGAUGAGUUAUCAAGAAAGACCACCACAUCAUAUGGGUCCCAAGGUGAUGAGUUAUCAAGAAAGGCUACCACAUCAUAUGGGUCCCAAGGUGAUGAGUUAUCAAGAAAGACCACCACAUCAUAUGGGUCCCAAGGUGAGAAGGAUUCAAGGAAGGCCACUACU
This 247-nucleotide long non-coding RNA is filed under the name Setaria viridis. RNAcentral describes it as "long non-coding RNA (SVIR_LNC004197)". The record is from RNAcentral. Lineage: Eukaryota; Viridiplantae; Streptophyta; Magnoliopsida; Poales; Poaceae.